RNAcentral lists this transfer RNA (75 nucleotides) under Chlamydomonas reinhardtii. RNAcentral's name for it is "tRNA-Pro". It matches the Rfam family "tRNA". From Rfam's summary of the family: Transfer RNA (tRNA) molecules are approximately 80 nucleotides in length. The record is from RNAcentral. Lineage: Eukaryota; Viridiplantae; Chlorophyta; Chlorophyceae; Chlamydomonadales; Chlamydomonadaceae.
CGGGAUGUAGCGCCAGCUUGGUAGCGCAUGUGCUUUGGGAGCAUAGGGUCGCAGGUUCGAAUCCUGUCAUCCCGA